GGAAAAGAAACCAACAGGGAUUGCCUCAGUAACGGCGAGUGAAGCGGCAAAAGCUCAAAUUUGAAAUCUAGCACCUUCGGUGUUCGAGUUGUAAUUUGAAGAUGGUAACCUUGGGUUUGGCUCUUGUCUAUGUUCCUUGGAACAGGACGUCAUAGAGGGUGAGAAUCCCGUCUGAUGAGAUGCCCAUUCCUAUGUAAGGUGCUAUCGAAGAGUCGAGUUGUUUGGGAAUGCAGCUCUAAGUGGGUGGUAAAUUCCAUCUAAAGCUAAAUAUUGGCGAGAGACCGAUAGCGAACAAGUACAGUGAUGGAAAGAUGAAAAGAACUUUGAAAAGAGAGUGAAAAAGUACGUGAAAUUGUUGAAAGGGAAGGGCAUUAGAUCAGACUUGGUGUUUUACGAUUAUCUUCUCUUCUUGAGUUGUGCACUCGUAUUUCACUGGGCCAGCAUCGAUUCGGAUGGCAAGAUAAUGGCAGUUGAAUGUGGCUUCACUUCGGUGGAGUGUUAUAGCUUCUGCUGAUAUUGCCUGUCUGGAUCGAGGGCUGCGUCUUUUGACUAGGAUGCUGGCGUAAUGAUCUAAUGCCGCCC
This 582-nucleotide ribosomal RNA is filed under the name Hansenula anomala. Its description in RNAcentral is "eukaryotic LSU rRNA". It matches the Rfam family "Eukaryotic large subunit ribosomal RNA", at positions 55 to 650 of the family's 3401-position model. Lineage: Eukaryota; Fungi; Ascomycota; Saccharomycetes; Phaffomycetales; Wickerhamomycetaceae. The record is from RNAcentral.